Patella vulgata (common limpet) is the source of this 518-nucleotide long non-coding RNA. RefSeq lists it as uncharacterized. The transcript has 4 exons. The record is from RefSeq and is a predicted model, not a curated record. NCBI's taxonomy places the organism in Eukaryota, Metazoa, Mollusca, Gastropoda, Patellidae.
CCUACUGUUAUUUACAUGUAGGCCAUUAGGUUAAAGGCAUUUUUACGGAGAAUUAUAAGCCGUUAUCGAAGAAACCGGUAUAUGAAAGUGUUAUUUCCAUAUCGAUAAAGCAGUAAAUAAACAGACGGUGGACAUUGUUCAUAGAUAGGUUUGCAGGAAUCGAGUACUCGAGAGCCAUGGGAGCAGACGUGUCAAGCAGACAGGAAAUGGUAAUUUAUGAAGAAAGGGAAAGGCAAAAAGAUUUAGAAUGUGAAUACCGUAAAGGCCAUGCAGAUGGGUUUCGCGCUGCAGUUAGGUGUGCAGUAAAUCUGGCUAUUUUUUUAUUUGUGGUUUUGGCUCUGGUGUUUUUCUAUUUUUGGGAACAACAAAAACAGUUAUAUCACCUUUUCCUAACAAUGAUUUUGAGGAAUUAGUACUGGGCUUCACUCUACUAAUGUCUACUAAAUUGGAUGAUUAGGAACAGUUCAGCCAAGCAAGAUAUAUUGCUUAUUUUUUUUAAUGAUAAUAAACACUCUAUU